AACGCAGAUUGCGCCCUUUGGUAUUCCGAAGGGCAUGCCUGUUUGAGUGUCUUAUAAACCUCACCUCUAUAGUUUUCUAUAGUUGUGCUUUGGGCGUCUGCCGUUUACUCUGGCUCGCCUUAAAUGUCUAAGUGGAUUUUGCAUGAUUAAGUCUUUGCAGAGAUGUCCACUCUAAUCAACCUUAUAUUUUGACCUCAAAUCAGGUAGGACUACCCGCUGAACUUAA
RNAcentral lists this unclassified non-coding RNA (226 nucleotides) under uncultured fungus. Its description in RNAcentral is "partial contains 5.8S ribosomal RNA, internal transcribed spacer 2, and large subunit ribosomal RNA". The stretch from base 1 to 52 matches the Rfam family "5.8S ribosomal RNA", at positions 103 to 154 of the family's 154-position model. The record is from RNAcentral. Lineage: Eukaryota; Fungi.